RNAcentral lists this transfer RNA (87 nucleotides) under Deltaproteobacteria bacterium. RNAcentral's name for it is "tRNA-Leu". It matches the Rfam family "tRNA". Rfam says of the family: Transfer RNA (tRNA) molecules are approximately 80 nucleotides in length. Their secondary structure includes four short double-helical elements and three loops (D, anti-codon, and T loops). The record is from RNAcentral. Lineage: Bacteria; Pseudomonadati; Myxococcota; Myxococcia. RNAcentral also lists the same sequence under 1 other name.
GCCGAAGUGGUGGAAUCUGGUAGACACGCUGUCUUGAGGGGGCAGUGGGCGACGCCUGUGCGGGUUCGAGUCCCGCCUUCGGCACCA